RNAcentral lists this ribosomal RNA (1020 nucleotides) under Enterococcus faecalis. RNAcentral describes it as "partial 23S ribosomal RNA". It matches the Rfam family "Bacterial large subunit ribosomal RNA", at positions 417 to 1440 of the family's 2925-position model. Lineage: Bacteria; Bacillati; Bacillota; Bacilli; Lactobacillales; Enterococcaceae. The record is from RNAcentral.
GCGGAACACGAGAAAUUCCGUCGGAAUCCGCGGGGACCAUCCCGCAAGGCUAAAUACUCCCUAGUGACCGAUAGUGAACCAGUACCGUGAGGGAAAGGUGAAAAGCACCCCGGAAGGGGAGUGAAAUAGAUCCUGAAACCGUGUGCCUACAACAAGUCAAAGCUCGUUAAUGAGUGAUGGCGUGCCUUUUGUAGAAUGAACCGGCGAGUUACGAUUGCAUGCGAGGUUAAGUCGAAGAGACGGAGCCGCAGCGAAAGCGAGUCUGAAUAGGGCGAAUGAGUAUGUAGUCGUAGACCCGAAACCAUGUGAUCUACCCAUGUCCAGGUUGAAGGUGCGGUAAAACGCACUGGAGGACCGAACCCACGUACGUUGAAAAGUGCGGGGAUGAGGUGUGGGUAGCGGAGAAAUUCCAAACGAACUUGGAGAUAGCUGGUUCUCUCCGAAAUAGCUUUAGGGCUAGCCUCGGAAUUGAGAAUGAUGGAGGUAGAGCACUGUUUGGACUAGGGGCCCAUCUCGGGUUACCGAAUUCAGAUAAACUCCGAAUGCCAUUCAUUUAUAUCCGGGAGUCAGACUGCGAGUGAUAAGAUCCGUAGUCGAAAGGGAAACAGCCCAGACCACCAGCUAAGGUCCCAAAAUAUAUGUUAAGUGGAAAAGGAUGUGGGGUUGCACAGACAACUAGGAUGUUGGCUUAGAAGCAGCCACCAUUUAAAGAGUGCGUAAUAGCUCACUAGUCGAGUGACCCUGCGCCGAAAAUGUACCGGGGCUAAACAUAUUACCGAAGCUGUGGACUACACCAUUAGGUGUAGUGGUAGGAGAGCGUUCUAAGGGCGUUGAAGGUCGAUCGUGAGGACGGCUGGAGCGCUUAGAAGUGAGAAUGCCGGUAUGAGUAGCGAAAGACAGGUGAGAAUCCUGUCCACCGUAUGACUAAGGUUUCCUGGGGAAGGCUCGUCCGCCCAGGGUUAGUCGGGACCUAAGCCGAGGCCGAUAGGCGUAGGCGAUGGACAACAGGUUGAUAUUCCU